AAUUAACCUUUUUACUAUUCGAGACAACCAAACAAAUCAGCACAAAUGCUUUACACAACCGUAAUAAUUUAAUUAAAAUUUAAAUGCCAACAUUGACAUGCCAGAAUUCAAGUUUUAAUCAAAAUUGAAGUCUCGGGCUGAGAAAGGGGCGUUUAUUUCGUGUGGUCUGUGGGAAUUUAAUGGAUUUCAGCAUCGAAAAAGAGGCAAACAUAUAGCCAUAACCCGAUCUGAUCAAUAAAUUAUCGUAUGGAUAAUGUUCAUAUCUUUCUACUAACCAUUAAAAGUAAUAAUAGUAGGAUUUCGUGAGCUCAGAAACCUUAAUUUGUUGAAAAAUGGCGUCGAUUUAUGUGCUUCCUUUUCGCAGCCUCAGUUACAAUUUGACAAGGAGUGAUGGGUAUUUAUGCAAAUAUUUAGGGACUCCUAUCAUCAUAGAUACUAUUUUUGGUCAUUUUAUAUUUAAAUAGCCAAUAGGAUGCAAAUGUGUCAGUUAUUUUCAGAAGCGGAAAACACCCGCCAUAUUUUUAUCUUCCAAAAUAACAACGUCUCUUGCCAUUUUCAGAUGUUUGUUUCUUGUAAAAUAAAAUCUCCUAAGAAGAAAAUAUAGCAUAGUCACCUGUAAAACUUACCUAUAUAACUAAUAAAUGAUGAAAUGACACAAGUUUAAUUGUCUUUAAUAGUAAAUUUCUUGAAAAAUCACACGUACACGAUGUAAACAAAUUACCGAGAUGGCGCGAUACUGUCGCCGUCUAUGUAAAAAUCGCGAUUGUCGCCCUUGAUUUUUUGGCCGUUACGUCAUAUGGAAGGAGGCGCAGAACUGAUCCGUGGCUUUCCCACUGAAUG
Molecule: long non-coding RNA, 840 nt
Filed under: Mytilus galloprovincialis (Mediterranean mussel)
Lineage: Eukaryota; Metazoa; Mollusca; Bivalvia; Mytilida; Mytilidae
Source: RNAcentral